GAUGAGCGCUGGCGGCGUGCCUAAUACAUGCAAGUCGAGCGAACAGACGGGGAGCUUGCUCCUUCGACGUUAGCGGCGGACGGGUGAGUAACACGUAGGUAACCUACCUAUAAGACUGGGAUAACUUCGGGAAACCGGAGCUAAUACCGGAUAAUAUUUCGAACCGCAUGGUUCGAUAGUGAAAGAUGGCUUUGCUAUCACUUAUAGAUGGACCUGCGCCGUAUUAGCUAGUUGGUAAGGUAACGGCUUACCAAGGCAACGAUACGUAGCCGACCUGAGAGGGUGAUCGGCCACACUGGAACUGAGACACGGUGCAGACUCCUACGGGAGGCAGCAGUAGGGAAUCUUCCGCAAUGGGCGAAAGCCUGACGGAGCAACGCCGCGUGAGUGAUGAAGGUCUUCGGAUCGUAAAACUCUGUUAUUAGGGAAGAACAAACGUGUAAGUAACUGUGCACGUCUUGACGGUACCUAAUCAGAAAGCCACGGCUAACUACGUG
RNAcentral lists this ribosomal RNA (497 nucleotides) under uncultured bacterium. RNAcentral describes it as "partial 16S ribosomal RNA". It matches the Rfam family "Bacterial small subunit ribosomal RNA", at positions 28 to 507 of the family's 1533-position model. The record is from RNAcentral.